CAGUAGCCGCGGUAAUACGAAGGGUGCAAGCGUUACUUGGAAUUACUGGGCGUAAAGCGUGCGUAGGUGGUGGUUUAAGUCCGUUGUGAAAGCCCUGGGCUCAACCUGGGAAUUGCAGUGGAUACUGGGUCACUAGAGUGUGGUAGAGGAUAGUGGAAUUUCCGGUGUAGCAGUGAAAUGCGUAGAGAUCGGAAGGAACAUCUGUGGCGAAGGCGACUAUCUGGGCCAACACUGACACUGAGGCACGAAAGCGUGGGGAGCAAACAGGAUUAGAUACCCGCGUAGUCCCUGUCUCUUAUAC
Molecule: ribosomal RNA, 301 nt
Filed under: uncultured bacterium
Lineage: Bacteria
Description: partial 16S ribosomal RNA
Rfam family: Bacterial small subunit ribosomal RNA
Source: RNAcentral